RNAcentral lists this ribosomal RNA (252 nucleotides) under uncultured bacterium. RNAcentral describes it as "partial 16S ribosomal RNA". It matches the Rfam family "Bacterial small subunit ribosomal RNA", at positions 524 to 776 of the family's 1533-position model. The record is from RNAcentral.
UACGUAGGUGGCGAGCGUUGUCCGGAAUUAUUGGGCGUAAAGAGCAUGUAGGCGGUUUUUUAAGUCCGGAGUGAAAAUGCGGGGCUCAACCCCGUAUGGCUCUGGAUACUGGAAGACUUGAGUGCAGGAGAGGAAAGGGGAAUUCCCAGUGUAGCGGUGAAAUGCGUAGAUAUUGGGAGGAACACCAGUGGCGAAGGCGCCUUCCUGGACUGUGUCUGACGCUGAGAUGCGAAAGCCAGGGUAGCGAACGGG